UUAAGCGACUAAGCGUACACGGUGGAUGCCCUGGCAGUCAGAGGCGAUGAAGGACGUGCUAAUCUGCGAUAAGCGUCGGUAAGGUGAUAUGAACCGUUAUAACCGGCGAUUUCCGAAUGGGGAAACCCAGUGUGAUUCGUCACACUAUCAUUAACUGAAUCCAUAGGUUAAUGAGGCGAACCGGGGGAACUGAAACAUCUAAGUACCCCGAGGAAAAGAAAUCAACCGAGAUUCCCCCAGUAGCGGCGAGCGAACGGGGAGCAGCCCAGAGCCUGAAUCAGUGUGUGUGUUAGUGGAAGCGUCUGGAAAGGCGCGCGAUACAGGGUGACAGCCCCGUACACAAAAAUGCACAUACUGUGAGCUCGAUGAGUAGGGCGGGACACGUGGUAUCCUGUCUGAAUAUGGGGGGACCAUCCUCCAAGGCUAAAUACUCCUGACUGACCGAUAGUGAACCAGUACCGUGAGGGAAAGGCGAAAAGAACCCCGGCGAGGGGAGUGAAAAAGAACCUGAAACCGUGUACGUACAAGCAGUGGGAGCACAGAGCAAUCUGUGUGACUGCGUACCUUUUGUAUAAUGGGUCAGCGACUUAUAUUCUGUAGCGAGGUUAACCGAAUAGGGGAGCCGAAGGGAAACCGAGUCUUAACUGGGCGUUAAGUUGCAGGGUAUAGACCCGAAACCCGGUGAUCUAGCCAUGGGCAGGUUGAAGGUUGGGUAACACUAACUGGAGGACCGAACCGACUAAUGUUGAAAAAUUAGCGGAUGACUUGUGGCUGGGGGUGAAAGGCCAAUCAAACCGGGAGAUAGCUGGUUCUCCCCGAAAGCUAUUUAGGUAGCGCCUCGUGAAUUCAUCUCCGGGGGUAGAGCACUGUUUCGGCAAGGGGGUCAUCCCGACUUACCAACCCGAUGCAAACUGCGAAUACCGGAGAAUGUUAUCACGGGAGACACACGGCGGGUGCUAACGUCCGUCGUGAAGAGGGAAACAACCCAGACCGCCAGCUAAGGUCCCAAAGUCAUGGUUAAGUGGGAAACGAUGUGGGAAGGCCCAGACAGCCAGGAUGUUGGCUUAGAAGCAGCCAUCAUUUAAAGAAAGCGUAAUAGCUCACUGGUCGAGUCGGCCUGCGCGGAAGAUGUAACGGGGCUAAACCAUGCACCGAAGCUGCGGCAGCGACGCUUAUGCGUUGUUGGGUAGGGGAGCGUUCUGUAAGCCUGUGAAGGUGUACUGUGAGGUAUGCUGGAGGUAUCAGAAGUGCGAAUGCUGACAUAAGUAACGAUAAAGCGGGUAGAAAGCCCGCUCGCCGGAAGACCGAAGGGUUCCUGUCCAACGUUAAUCGGGGCAGGGUGAGUCGACCCCUAAGGCGAGGCCGAAAGGCGUAGUCGAUGGGAAACAGGUUAAUAUUCCUGUACUUGGUGUUACUGCGAAGGGGGGACGGAGAAGGCUAUGUUGGCCGGGCGACGGUUGUCCCGGUUUAAGCGUGUAGGCUGGUUUUCCAGGCAAAUCCGGAAAAUCAAGGCUGAGGCGUGAUGACGAGGCACUACGGUGCUGAAGCAACAAAUGCCCUGCUUCCAGGAAAAGCCUCUAAGCAUCAGGUAACAUCAAAUCGUACCCCAAACCGACACAGGUGGUCAGGUAGAGAAUACCAAGGCGCUUGAGAGAACUCGGGUGAAGGAACUAGGCAAAAUGGUGCCGUAACUUCGGGAGAAGGCACGCUGAUAUGUAGGUGAAGCGACUUGCUCGUGGAGCUGAAAUCAGUCGAAGAUACCAGCUGGCUGCAACUGUUUAUUAAAAACACAGCACUGUGCAAACACGAAAGUGGACGUAUACGGUGUGACGCCUGCCCGGUGCCGGAAGGUUAAUUGAUGGGGUCAGCGCAAGCGAAGCUCUUGAUCGAAGCCCCGGUAAACGGCGGCCGUAACUAUAACGGUCCUAAGGUAGCGAAAUUCCUUGUCGGGUAAGUUCCGACCUGCACGAAUGGCGUAAUGAUGGCCAGGCUGUCUCCACCCGAGACUCAGUGAAAUUGAACUCGCUGUGAAGAUGCAGUGUACCCGCGGCAAGACGGAAAGACCCCGUGAACCUUUACUAUAGCUUGACACUGAACAUUGAGCCUUGAUGUGUAGGAUAGGUGGGAGGCUUUGAAGUGUGGACGCCAGUCUGCAUGGAGCCGACCUUGAAAUACCACCCUUUAAUGUUUGAUGUUCUAACGUUGACCCAUAAUCCGGGUUGCGGACAGUGUCUGGUGGGUAGUUUGACUGGGGCGGUCUCCUCCUAAAGAGUAACGGAGGAGCACGAAGGUUGGCUAAUCCUGGUCGGACAUCAGGAGGUUAGUGCAAUGGCAUAAGCCAGCUUGACUGCGAGCGUGACGGCGCGAGCAGGUGCGAAAGCAGGUCAUAGUGAUCCGGUGGUUCUGAAUGGAAGGGCCAUCGCUCAACGGAUAAAAGGUACUCCGGGGAUAACAGGCUGAUACCGCCCAAGAGUUCAUAUCGACGGCGGUGUUUGGCACCUCGAUGUCGGCUCAUCACAUCCUGGGGCUGAAGUAGGUCCCAAGGGUAUGGCUGUUCGCCAUUUAAAGUGGUACGCGAGCUGGGUUUAGAACGUCGUGAGACAGUUCGGUCCCUAUCUGCCGUGGGCGCUGGAGAAUUGAGGGGGGCUGCUCCUAGUACGAGAGGACCGGAGUGGACGCAUCACUGGUGUUCGGGUUGUCAUGCCAAUGGCACUGCCCGGUAGCUAAAUGCGGAAGAGAUAAGUGCUGAAAGCAUCUAAGCACGAAACUUGCCCCGAGAUGAGUUCUCCCUGACUCCUUGAGAGUCCUGAAGGAACGUUGAAGACGACGACGUUGAUAGGCCGGGUGUGUAAGCGCAGCGAUGCGUUGAGCUAACCGGUACUAAUGAACCGUGAGGCUUAACCUU
RNAcentral lists this ribosomal RNA (2905 nucleotides) under Escherichia coli DEC14D. Its description in RNAcentral is "bacterial LSU rRNA". It matches the Rfam family "Bacterial large subunit ribosomal RNA". Lineage: Bacteria; Pseudomonadati; Pseudomonadota; Gammaproteobacteria; Enterobacterales; Enterobacteriaceae. The record is from RNAcentral.